AAUGGGCGAAAGCCUGACGGAGCGACACCGCGUGCAGGAUGAAGGCCUUAGGGUCGUAAACUGCUGUCACGCCCUAGGAAGACCUGUCGUUAAUACCGGCAGGUGUGACCAAGGCGAAGGGAAGCACCGGCUAACUCCGUGCCAGCAGCCGCGGUAAUACGGAGGGUGAAAACGUUGUUCGGAAUCACUGGGCAUAAAGAGCACGUAGGCGGCCCAGCCAGUCUGGUGUGAAAUCCCCCGGCUCAACCGGGGAACUGCAUCGGAUACUGCUGGGCUCGAGGAUAGCAGGGGUGAGUGGAACUCCAGGUGGAGCGGUGAAAUGCGUAGAUAUCUGGAGGAACACCGGUGGCGAAAGCGGCUCACUGGGCUAUCUCUGACGCUGAGGUGCGAAAGCCAGGGGAGCAAACGGGAUU
Molecule: ribosomal RNA, 413 nt
Filed under: uncultured Gammaproteobacteria bacterium
Lineage: Bacteria; Pseudomonadati; Pseudomonadota; Gammaproteobacteria
Description: bacterial SSU rRNA
Rfam family: Bacterial small subunit ribosomal RNA
Source: RNAcentral